CCUACGGGUGGCAGCAGUGGGGAAUAUUGCACAAUGGGGGAAACCCUGAUGCAGCGACGCCGCGUGAGGGAAGAAUGAAUUCGUUAUGUAAAGCUCUAUCAGCAGAGAAGAAAAUGACGGUACCUGAGUAAGAAGCUCUGGCUAACUUCGUGCCAGCAGCCGCGGUAAUACGGAGGGGGCAAGCGUUAUCCGGAUUUACUGGGUGUAAAGGGAGCGUAGACGGCAGUGCAAGUCAGUAGUGAAAGGCGGAGGCUCAACCCCCGAACUGCAAUGGAAACUGUAAGGCUGGAGUGCAGGAGAGGUAAGUGGAAUUCGUGGUGUAGCGGUGAAAUGCGUAGAUAUUAGGAGGAACACCAGUGGCGAAGGCAGCUUACUGAACUGUAACUGACGUUGAGGCUCGAAAGCGUGGGGAGCAAACAGGAUUAGAUACCCUUGUAGUC
Molecule: ribosomal RNA, 440 nt
Filed under: uncultured bacterium
Lineage: Bacteria
Description: partial 16S ribosomal RNA
Rfam family: Bacterial small subunit ribosomal RNA
Source: RNAcentral